GAAUGAGGUUACUUGAAGAAGAAGAGCACCAAGAUCCAAGCACAACCAGGCAAAAUUAGUCAUUUCUAAAGUCUUUGCUCCGUUCUCGUUACACAAAAACGAGCAAAGAAGGGCAGCUAUAAUAACCAAUUUUAGCCCGGGCCCAAAAUUGAGAAUUCAAAGUCCAUAUUACAAAGUCAAAAAAUAAAAAAAUAAAAAAUUUAUAGCCCAAAAUAGCUUAACCCAGUUACAACACUUAGCCCACUAACCUAAACUCUAGCCCGAUUACAGAGGCCCAACACCUAGCCUAAUUGAGACUGAAACCCUAACAACAUUUGGCUCCCAG
Molecule: long non-coding RNA, 325 nt
Filed under: Gossypium raimondii (Peruvian cotton)
Lineage: Eukaryota; Viridiplantae; Streptophyta; Magnoliopsida; Malvales; Malvaceae
Description: long non-coding RNA (GRAI_LNC003154)
Source: RNAcentral